AAUCUGCUCAAACAGUGCUGAGCGGGAAGCAGACUCAUCUGAGCCUGAACUGGUGGUAUGGAACUCCUUAAUGUAAGCCUGUAGCUCUGUCCAUAUACUCACAUAAGCUUUGACCCAAUCCACAUGCUUCUUAUCAACAUCUUUGUACUCCUUGAGGACUCGGUUUGUGUAAAACAGGGCAGCAUCAUUCAUUUUUUCACAUAAAGACCAGGCUUGGAAGCCAUAGCCACCCAACCCAGGGCCUGGAUACUUUCGCUGUAACCAAGAGAGCUCGCUCCAACUUCAGACCUGUGUGGACCAUCUCCGCAUGUUUCUGCACGUCUCCCCCAGUCUCUUUAUUGACCUUCAGGUACUCGGCCACAAGACCAGCAAGGAGUGAGGCAAAUGCUUGCACACAUGGAGCUGCUUCUGCUUUUGGAGCACUGUCUCCAUACCCACAGUGCGUGUCAGAGGCAUGGGAUACUGCCUCCAGGAGGCCCAGUGCCCUCUCCAAUCUUUCCACCGGAUUUUGCAUAUCAGCCAUAAUGUACCACCUCCCGACUGCGAUCAGCUGCUCUCCACUUCCGGCAAGAACCUGUCUUUUUUUUUUUUUAAAGAUUUUAUUUAUUUAUUUAUUUAUUUUAGAGGAGGGGAGGGGAAGAGGCAGAGAGAAUCUUAAGCAGACUCUACACUGAGUGCAGAGCCUGACACAGGCUCCAUCUCAUGACCCUGAGAUCACAACCUUGAGAUCACAACCUGAGCUGAAACCAAGAGUCAGACACUUAACCAACAGCAUUACCCAGGCACCCCAAAACUGCCAGCAUCUAAGGGUAAUCUAAUAAAUGUUUUGAACAAUGAAUAAAUUCCACCAUGCAGAUUUUCAAAAGUAUUUUUCUUUGCAGCUUAUUCCCUAAGCAGUUAUACUAUGUUAUUUAUUGGAAUUGGAAUUUCUGUCUAGAUAAAAAUUUGUAAUGUAUAAAAUAAUCUAUAAAUGUAAACACAUAAACUUAAUAAGUAUAUUAAAAUAAAUUUGUCUUUUUGAAAUUGCAUCUUUCUGAUAUACAAUAAGUUUUUUCCACUCUCUUCUUAUCACUGACAUUUCUGUUGUCUCUAGAUUUUUUUUCUAUUAUAAAUACAUUGUGGUAAACAUCUGUUUUUUUUUCAAACAAAAGUGAGUUUAUUUACAAAAAUUACAAUAAUUACAGAUAGUAGAAAUUGAGACAAUUUCCCCUGUUACUGUGACAGAAGCUGCCAGCCUUCACUUUAAAAUGAGGAUUUGGGGGAUCCUUGGGUGGCUCAGCAGUUCAGUGCCUGCUUCAGCCCAGGGUGUGAUCCGGCAGGUCCGGGAUCAGGUCUCGCAUCGAGAUCCCUGCGUGGAGCCUGCUUGUCCCUCUGCCUGUGUCUCUGCCUCACUCUCUUAGUGUCUCUCAUGAAUAAAUAAAUAAAAUCUUUAAAAAAAUGAAGGUUUUGUUAUUUUGAGAUAUGAUACACAUGUGGUGAACAUCUUUGUACAUAAACCUGUGAGAGGAUCUCCUAAUAUUUUCUUGGAGAGCAUGCCUAGGAAAGAGAUCUAAAGGUUAUGAACACUUAAAAUACUUGAUUUAAAUUACCAAAUUGUUUUCAGAAAGACUAUAUAUUUUAUAAUUCUACCAAUAAUGUUUUAGCAUGCCAAAUUCACCACAUCUUUAUUGAUACGGAGUCUUGAUACAUUUUAAGAAGCUG
Molecule: long non-coding RNA, 1701 nt
Filed under: Canis lupus familiaris (dog)
Lineage: Eukaryota; Metazoa; Chordata; Mammalia; Carnivora; Canidae
Description: lncRNA (ENSCAFG00040021344.1)
Source: RNAcentral